This is a non-coding RNA of Schistosoma margrebowiei, 45 nucleotides long. The record is from Rfam. Lineage: Eukaryota; Metazoa; Platyhelminthes; Trematoda; Strigeidida; Schistosomatidae.
AUCUAGCUGCCGAGUCCAAAAGAGAACGAAACGCGUGUCCUGGAU